GCAAAACCAAUUUUGUAAACCCACCACGUAAGCAAAUCUAGUUCCCAUUAUGUGCUAAAGGUGCAUUUUGAUCUGGUUUAGCAAAAUUAAGGGGGUUAAGUAAACUUUAUGUUCUUUAAGGGGUUAUAUGGACUUAUGUUAGACUUGGAGGUAGUAAAUUGAACUCUUUUUAAUAUCUAUGAACCUAGAAAAACUAAAACGAUCUACAAUUUGGAACGGAGGGAGUAUUAUUCAAGAAUUCUAAAAAUUAUUUUCUAUCCGGACAAGGAUUCAAUAUCUUUAUUUGAAACGUGCACGUGCGCACGACGUAAACUGCAAGCCACAAUUAGCAAAAGUACGAAACAGAGGAAAUCAGCUAAAAGAAAAACUUGUUGGAUGGAGAAAAGUAAAUAUUUGGCAUAAUAAUAAAAUCUGUCCCUCAUUAAUUGCAUUAUGUUACACAGGGGGUAUUGUUCUUACAUUUGGAAUGGUUUGGCUUCCCCUCCUGAUUUCUCUUCUUUCUAGUGCUAUCUACUAGUACGUUGAGUCGUCGUUGGCUAAAUGGAAGUUCUUUUUUUAAAAAAAAAACAAGAGAUGUCAGGUAUACAUGUGUCCCUUUAAAACGUGCUAUCUCCUCUAGUAGUCGAUUCGAAGGGUGAAGCAAAG
This 645-nucleotide long non-coding RNA is filed under the name Setaria viridis. RNAcentral's name for it is "long non-coding RNA (SVIR_LNC010940)". Lineage: Eukaryota; Viridiplantae; Streptophyta; Magnoliopsida; Poales; Poaceae. The record is from RNAcentral.